CAUUGACAAACCAUGUAAAUUUGUGCCAGAUGUGAUUGUUUUCUUGCUUUGGUUUUCUCUUUGCUUACCUUGUAAUUUCAAUAAUAUCUUGCAUCAUAACAAGAGCAUCAAAUGAUAGACAUUAGUUAUAAAUAGUUUCGGUAAAUAAGAUGCACGAACCCUUUGCCUACAUGUACAGAAUUAGAGCAUUUAUAUGUUGGUGUUUUUAGGGAUUUUGUGAAUGUUUUCAGUAGGCUAUAGCCUCUAUAUCUUAAGUUCAAGCUCCAUGACGCUUGCAUAUUGUCCCACACAAAUGCAAAGUCAUUUUGGGUCUUACUUUAUAAUCUUUCGUCUCUGAAACCAUUAGGAAAACUGGAAAAAUUGUAAACGCAGCAAGAAAUUGAACAUUUUGGAGGUAACAGGUUUUCCAACCGGCAUUGUCGACCAUCACUUACCAAUUACCUAUGCCUAGCUCUGUAGAUAAUGAGAGUUACCAAUUGGCUUUGCCUCCACAAACUGCAUAGACAACCAACUUGAACGAAAUUCCAGGAUAUGCUAAAUUAGGAGAUGGCAUGCAAGCUUAUAAUAAUGAUUUUGAAAUCAGCCUUUUCCCCAUGUAUUUGGGAAUGAUUUCUUCCCAAACCUGAGUACACCUAGUAGCCCUCGUGAAUUGCCGGAGUUGAUGAGGUCUAUGGAACAAUUUUCAGAGGUAGAUGCUUUCUGGUUGAACAGAGAAAGUACUUAUGAAUGAGUUCACAAUUUGAAUUGUUUUACUGAUAUGAAUGACGCUGCAGAUUGUUUGAAUGGCGCCGGUGUUGAAGAAAUCGUGAAAGAAGCGCAAUACAGGUGAUUGAAUGUAGUUGAAAUAUGCAAAAUAUUUGAAAACCAUGAAAAGCUUCAAAUACUUGCCUCUCAACCACAACGAAGGCCUCCAAGUAUUGUUUCAUUUGGGAUUUUAUUUUUCUAACCAUUUUAUGGAUGUAACAUGGCUAAGUUACAUUAAUUGCAAGUGGCUCCUUUUUUGUCAUUAAGCUGCAAAGGCUUUGAGAGUUUAGGAAGGAUGACCAUGUGUCGGGGAAAAAGAAAAAGAAAGAUGCAAAGACGGUACAUGAGUUUAUUAAAAUUUCAAGGUUCGUGCAAUAAUUUGAUGUAGAUUUUAUAUUCAAUGUUGUCUAUCAGUUUCAUCAAUUAACAAGAGUGAAAUUUUACAAGUUAA
Molecule: long non-coding RNA, 1195 nt
Organism: Mangifera indica (mango)
Lineage: Eukaryota; Viridiplantae; Streptophyta; Magnoliopsida; Sapindales; Anacardiaceae
Exons: 3
Source: RefSeq, a predicted model, not a curated record